Triticum aestivum (bread wheat) is the source of this 112-nucleotide non-coding RNA. NCBI's taxonomy places the organism in Eukaryota, Viridiplantae, Streptophyta, Magnoliopsida, Poales, Poaceae. The record is from Rfam.
UAUAUACUCCCUCCGUCUGAAAAUACUUGUCAUCAAAAUGGAUAAAAAGUGAUGUAUACAUCCUCUUUUAUCCAUUUUGAUGACAAGUAUUUCCGGACGGAGGGAGUAUUGU